Molecule: long non-coding RNA, 288 nt
Filed under: Drosophila guanche
Lineage: Eukaryota; Metazoa; Arthropoda; Insecta; Diptera; Drosophilidae
Source: RNAcentral
GCUGCACAGAACAAAAAUUGCAUUCAAGGUUGGAAGACUUAAUUGAUGUGCGUGUAGAAAAUAUACAAAAACAAAAAAAAACGUGGUGAAAAUUUUGCAAAACCAUAAAAGGGAACAUAAUUCAAAUAAAAACCAAUAUAAAAGUGUUGUGGCUGCAAAGACGAAAACUUAAAAACCAACCCCUGGAUAAGGUACGCCAAGAAAAAAAUGAAAAAGUGACCUUAUUACAUAAUUCCAUGUAUGUACUGUACAUAGGUUAUGAUCCACGUGUGGCAGGAAAUUGCUGAC